This 446-nucleotide ribosomal RNA is filed under the name uncultured bacterium. Its description in RNAcentral is "bacterial SSU rRNA". It matches the Rfam family "Bacterial small subunit ribosomal RNA", at positions 329 to 792 of the family's 1533-position model. The record is from RNAcentral.
UUCCAGACUCCUACGGGAGGCAGCAGUGGGGGAUAUUGCACAAUGGGGGGAACCCUGAUGCAGCGACGCCGCGUGGGUGAAGAAGCGCCUCGGCGCGUAAAGCCCUGUCAGCAGGGAAGAAAAUGACGGUACCUGAAGAAGAAGCCCCGGCUAACUACGUGCCAGCAGCCGCGGUAAUACGUAGGGGGCAAGCGUUAUCCGGAUUUACUGGGUGUAAAGGGGGCGCAGACGGCGAUGCAAGCCAGGAGUGAAAGCCCGGGGCCCAACCGCGGGACUGCAUUGGGAACUACCGGGCUGGAGUGCCGGAGAGGUAGGCGGAAUUCCUAGUGUAGCGGUGAAAUGCGUAGAUAUUAGGAGGAACACCAGUGGCGAAGGCGGCCUACUGGACGGUGACUGACGCUGAGGCUCGAAAGCGUGGGGAGCAAACAGGAUUAGAUACCCCGGUA